GACGCCGAAGCCAAACGGUCCGGCGGCUGUCUGCAAAACAGCUUCUCGUGGGUUCGACUCCCACCGGCGUUUCCU
This 75-nucleotide transfer RNA is filed under the name Blastopirellula marina. RNAcentral's name for it is "tRNA-Cys". It matches the Rfam family "tRNA". From Rfam's summary of the family: Transfer RNA (tRNA) molecules are approximately 80 nucleotides in length. Their secondary structure includes four short double-helical elements and three loops (D, anti-codon, and T loops). Lineage: Bacteria; Pseudomonadati; Planctomycetota; Planctomycetia; Pirellulales; Pirellulaceae. The record is from RNAcentral. RNAcentral also lists the same sequence under 1 other name.